CCUACGUGAGGCAGCAGUGGGGAAUAUUGGGCAAUGGGCGCAAGCCUGACCCAGCAACGCCGCGUGAAGGAAGAAGGCUUUCGGGUUGUAAACUUCUUUUCUCAGGGACGAAGCAAGUGACGGUACCUGAGGAAUAAGCCACGGCUAACUACGUGCCAGCCGCCGCGGUAAUACGUAGGUGGCAAGCGUUAUCCGGAUUUACUGGGUGUAAAGGGCGUGUAGGCGGGAAAUCAAGUCAGAUGUGAAAACCAUGGGCUCAACCUGUGGCCUGCAUUUGAUACUGUUUUUCUUGAGUACUGGAGAGGGAGACGGAAUUCCGAGUGUAGCGGUGAAAUGCGUAGAUAUUAGGAGGAACACCAGUGGCGAAGGCGGUCUGCUGGACAGAAACUGACGCUGAGGCGCGAAAGCGUGGGGAGCAAACAGGAUGAGAUACCCCUGUAGUC
Molecule: ribosomal RNA, 443 nt
Filed under: uncultured bacterium
Lineage: Bacteria
Description: partial 16S ribosomal RNA
Rfam family: Bacterial small subunit ribosomal RNA
Source: RNAcentral